GUUGUAUAGUCAAGUAAUUAAGUGCAUGUGGUGGAUGCCUUGGCAGUCAGAGGCGAUGAAAGACGUGAUAGCCUGCGAAAAGCUCCGGGGAGGCGGCAAAUAUCCUUUGAUCCGGAGAUGUCUGAAUGGGGGAACCCACCUACUUUAAGGUAGGUAUUGCAACAUGAAUACAUAGUGUUGCAAGGCGAACGAGGGGAAGUGAAACAUCUCAGUACCCUUAGGAAAAGAAAUCAAUUGAGAUUCCCUCAGUAGCGGCGAGCGAACGGGGAUCAGCCCAUUAAGUUAUGUGUGUUUUAGUGGAACGCUCUGGGAAGUGCGAACGUAGAGGGUGAUAUUCCCGUACACGAAAGGGCACACAUAAUGAUGACGAGUAGGGCGAGGCACGUGAAACCUUGUCUGAAUAUGGGGGGACCAUCCUCCAAGGCUAAAUACUCCUGACUGACCGAUAGUGAACCAGUACCGUGAGGGAAAGGCGAAAAGAACCCCUGUGAGGGGAGUGAAAUAGAUCCUGAAACCGCAUGCAUACAAGCAGUGGGAGCACCUUCGUGGUGUGACUGCGUACCUUUUGUAUAAUGGGUCAGCGACUUAUAUUCAGUAGCGAGGUUAACCGUAUAGGGGAGCCGUAGAGAAAUCGAGUCUUAAUAGGGCGUUUAGUUGCUGGGUAUAGACCCGAAACCAGGCGAUCUAUCCAUGAGCAGGUUGAAGGUUGGGUAACACUAACUGGAGGACCGAACCCACUGUCGUUGAAAAGCCAGGGGAUGACUUGUGGAUAGGGGUGAAAGGCUAAUCAAGCCUGGUGAUAGCUGGUUCUCCCCGAAAGCUAUUUAGGUAGCGCCUCGGACGAAUACCAUAGGGGGUAGAGCACUGUUUCGGCUAGGGGGUCAUCCCGACUUACCAAACCGAUGCAAACUCCGAAUACCUAUGAGUACUAUCCGGGAGACAGACUGCGGGUGCUAACGUCCGUAGUCAAGAGGAAAACAAUCCAGACCGCCAGCUAAGGCCCCAAAAUCAUAGUUAAGUGGGAAACGAUGUGGGAAGGCAUAGACAGCUAGGAGGUUGGCUUAGAAGCAGCCACCCUUUAAAGAAAGCGUAAUAGCUCACUAGUCGAGUCGGCCUGCGCGGAAGAUGUAACGGGGCUAAAACUAUGUGCCGAAGCUGCGGAUGUAUACUUUGUAUACGUGGUAGGGGAGCGUUCUGUAAGCCGAUGAAGGUGUGUUGAGAAGCAUGCUGGAGGUAUCAGAAGUGCGAAUGCUGACGUGAGUAACGACAAAACGGGUGAAAAACCCGUUCGCCGAAAGACCAAGGGUUCCAGUCCAACGUUAAUCGGGGCUGGGUGAGUCGACCCCUAAGGCGAGGCCGAAAGGCGUAGUCGAUGGGAAAAUGGUUAAUAUUCCAUUACUUCUGUGUAAUGCGAUGAGAGGACGGAGAAGGCUAAAUCAGCCUGGCGUUGGUUGUCCAGGUGAAAGGAUGUAGGCAUGUAUCUUAGGCAAAUCCGGGGUACUCUAUGCUGAGAUCUGAUAGCAAGCUGUACUUGUACAGCGAAGUGGUUGAUGCCAUGCUUCCAGGAAAAGUCUCUAAGCUUCAGUUACACAGGAAUCGUACCCGAAACCGACACAGGUGGUCAGGUCGAGUAGACCAAGGCGCUUGAGAGAACUCUGCUGAAGGAACUAGGCAAAAUGGUACCGUAACUUCGGGAGAAGGUACGCUGUUGUUGGUGAUGGAACUCGCUUCCUGAGCUGACGACAGCCGCAGAAACCAGGCCGCUGCAACUGUUUAUUAAAAACAUAGCACUCUGCAAACACGAAAGUGGACGUAUAGGGUGUGAUGCCUGCCCGGUGCUGGAAGGUUAAUUGAUGGGGUUAGCGUAAGCGAAGCUCUUGAUCGAAGCCCCAGUAAACGGCGGCCGUAACUAUAACGGUCCUAAGGUAGCGAAAUUCCUUGUCGGGUAAGUUCCGACCUGCACGAAUGGCAUAAUGAUGGCGGCGCUGUCUCCAGCAGAGGCUCAGUGAAAUCGAAAUCGCUGUGAAGAUGCAGUGUACCCGCGGCUAGACGGAAAGACCCCGUGAACCUUUACUGCAGCUUGACACUGAACUUUGACCUUACUUGUGUAGGAUAGGUGGGAGGCUUUGAAGCUGGAACGCUAGUUCCAGUGGAGCCGUCCUUGAAAUACCCCCCUGGUAAUGUUGAGGUUCUAACUCUGUCCCGUGAUCCGGGACGAGGACCGUGUCUGGUGGGUAGUUUGACUGGGGCGGUCUCCUCCUAAAGAGUAACGGAGGAGUACGAAGGUGCGCUCAGCGUGGUCGGAAAUCACGCGUAGAGUAUAAAGGCAAAAGCGCGCUUAACUGCGAGACCCACAAGUCGAGCAGGUACGAAAGUAGGUCUUAGUGAUCCGGUGGUUCUGUAUGGAAGGGCCAUCGCUCAACGGAUAAAAGGUACUCUGGGGAUAACAGGCUGAUACCGCCCAAGAGUUCAUAUCGACGGCGGUGUUUGGCACCUCGAUGUCGGCUCAUCUCAUCCUGGGGCUGAAGCAGGUCCCAAGGGUAUGGCUGUUCGCCAUUUAAAGAGGUACGCGAGCUGGGUUUAGAACGUCGUGAGACAGUUCGGUCCCUAUCUACCGUGGGCGCUGGAAAUUUGAGAGGAUCUGCUCCUAGUACGAGAGGACCAGAGUGGACGAACCUCUGGUGUACCGGUUGUGACGCCAGUCGCAUCGCCGGGUAGCUAUGUUCGGAAGGGAUAACCGCUGAAAGCAUCUAAGCGGGAAGCCUACCUCAAGAUAAGAUUUCCCUAGGACUUUAUGUCCUCUAAAGAGCCGUUCGAGACUAGGACGUUGAUAGGUUGGAUGUGGAAGCAUAGUGAUAUGUGAAGCUGACCAAUACUAAUUGCUCGUGAGGCUUGACUAUACAACACCCAAGCAGUUG
RNAcentral lists this ribosomal RNA (2918 nucleotides) under Acinetobacter baumannii. RNAcentral's name for it is "23S ribosomal RNA". It matches the Rfam family "Bacterial large subunit ribosomal RNA". Lineage: Bacteria; Pseudomonadati; Pseudomonadota; Gammaproteobacteria; Moraxellales; Moraxellaceae. The record is from RNAcentral.